This is an RNA transcript of Schistocerca nitens (vagrant locust), 2186 nucleotides long. It is a transcript of the gene named Meckel syndrome type 1 protein, with no coding region annotated. The record is from RefSeq and is a predicted model, not a curated record. The transcript is spliced from 9 exons. NCBI's taxonomy places the organism in Eukaryota, Metazoa, Arthropoda, Insecta, Orthoptera, Acrididae.
AGCUUGUUUUGACCGUGACAAUAAUCGUGCGCGCGUUAUGAAGUUACACAGUGUUACGACGUACGCUGGUGAAAAUGAUUUUACACCUCGUGUCUACAGGUGUAAAGAUUCCAUUAAAAACCUGAAAAUAAAAGUACGUUUCCAGCUACCAAAGACAAGAAACAUACCUAUUCCACAGUUUACACCAAGAGAAAAUGACAAACAACACACUAAUGCAAAUGAUAAUACACCAGAAUAUGAAGAACAUACAUUUAGUUGGCAAGAGAAAGUAUUUAGCAAGUCUGAAGUCGAAUUUUAUCGCCACAGUGGUAACUGCAGGACACCACUUCAAGAGCAGUACCAUCAGGAAGUUUCAGAGUGGUCUGAUGAUACAGGGCAUCUGUUUACAUAUAUUGAUGCAGAUGGCUUCAGUGAAGAGGUGAGUGUUACAACUGGACAGCAGAAUUGUGCUGCAGGAAAUGGUAAACUAGAACUGUUGAAAAAACAGAGUUUUAUUCGCCGUAAACCCAAGAUCACACAAGGUAAUAUUGUCAAUGACUCUCCUUCUGCAGAGGCAAAAAAACAAAAUCAUUCCCUGCAGAUAUGUGAGCAACUUAUGUAUAUCAUGGCAGACCUCACUGAUAUUAGCAGUGUUGGUGGGGAAAGCACCUCUGUGGGCCAGACUAGUGUACUACCAACAGAAGUUGUCCUUUGUCGUUUGUCAUGGAACAGGCAGUGUGGCCUUUUGACUAUAAUGCCAGAUUUCUCCCCUACUUCACUGGAUGGUAAGUGUGAACCUUACCUGCUGGAAGUGGGAGGAGAUGCACGUAACGCUUGUCGUUACUGGUUGUAUCAUGUCUCAGAGCAGCCAGAUGAUAACAUAAAGGUGCCAGCUUUGUCACUUGGUAUUAGCCAUCUGAGCUUAGGAACAGACUUCAAGACUCCAGAACAAGGAACAGUACAGUUAACUGUACUAGUUGAAAUUGUAUCAGCCUCGGGCUAUGAUUUUGAUGGUCUUUUCAUUGAGUACUGCUUUGAACUGCCUGAUGGCUGGUCAGGUCCAUCUCCUGCGCUUCUUGCAGGAGCAACACAUCGGUCAAAUAAAAAUGACAAAGGAGAAGCAUUUUUUGGCUACAUUUUUGAAGUUGAGCUUGCAAGCACAGAUGACAUAGAAACACAGUGCCUUCGGCCCCAGCUACUGAUGCGAGUUGCUUCACUAGAUAGUUGGGGCCGUUUCCGUGUGGAAGGCUACUGCCAUGUACCUUUACCUAACAGCGCAGGUCGUCACACUCUUUCUAUACCCUCUUGGCGGUUCACACCGGAUGGACACUUACAUGAAAUGAGACGUUUCUUUAUCGGAGGUGGUUGUAAUGUUUCAAUGGACAUAGCUGGAGUGCCAGAUGCAGUAAAGGGUAAACCAGUACUUGGCAAGUUUGGCUUGCGUACUGUUAGCAGUGGCACGGUCACAGUUCGAAUGGACAUUAUUCACCAGACAUCUGAAAGGGCAGAGGGUUGGGGGAAGAAUGUGCCCCAUCACCUGUCAUCAUCAGCAUUACUUAACAGUGUGGAAGCUGUGAUUGCUGCUUUCAGCAGAGCUCGUCACAGGAUGCUACGAGCAAGGCAGGGCCUCGAUGUGCCAUAGACAACUGUUCAGUGGAACCUGUCAUAUAGUGCCAAGCACAGUGUGUUCCAACAGCAAAGAGGAUCAACUUGCAUUCUGCUUAGUGCAGUGGUUGCAAUCAGGGAGUGUGAGUUCAAGUAAGACAAAUCAAAGUGGUUCAUUCAUUCACAAGCAAGUUGAGAUGCUUUUUGUCUGUGAUCAAGGACAUAGAUAUGAUCGAAGGCCACACAGAUUUACUGAGCCACUUACCUUGAUGGAGAGCACCACCUAUCUGUGUUUGUGUUACCAGAUAUCCUUUCAGAGAGAUGAACAACGUGGUUGAGAUCGACAUGUUUGUACACCAGCUCUGCAAUGACAAAUCUAUGCAGUACUGAGAGGAAUACUAGUACAAGUGCCACACACAUGAUCUCCCAGCAUGGAGUGAAUGAAAGAAUGCUGUGCAUCCUGUGUGAAAACUAGUACCAUUCCUGUCACCCGCAACAUGUGCCAGGAUUAUCAGCAGUAGGAUUUCCUUCAAAAGAAGGCUUUGCAACAUACCCCUACCAUUAAGAAAUUUCUGUUGUAAGUAUUAUUCACUGAUCAUGUA